CUAAAGCAUGCAAGUCGUACGCGAAAGUCCUAUCGGGAACGAGUAGAGUGGCGAAAGGGCGAGGAAUACAUGGGUAACAUACCCCCGGCACAGGGAUAGCCGCGGGAAAGCGCGGGUAAUACCUGAUAUGACCACGGCAUCUUAUGAUGCAGCGGUAAAAGGGUGGGGACCUUCGGGCCUACCGGCCAGGGAGUGGCCCAUGUCCUAUCAGCUUGUUGGUGAGGUAACGGCUCACCAAGGCGACGACGGGUACCGGGGCUGAGAGGCUGAUCCGGCGCAUUGGGACUGAGACACUAGCCCAGACUCCUACGGGAGGCUGCAGCGACGAAUAUUGCACAAUGGGCGCAAGCCUGAUGCAGCGACGCCGCGUGUGGGAGGAAGCCCCUCGGGGUGUAAACCACUGUCAGGGACCACCAAGCGACCCGGGCGAAUAGUCCGGGAAGUUGAGGAAUCCCAGAGGAAGUCACGGCUAACUUCGUGCCAGCAGCCGCGGUAAGACGAAGGUGGCAAGCGUAGUACGGAAUCACUGGGCUUAAAGAGCACGUAGGCGGAUUGUCAAGCACGUAUGUGAAAUCCCUCGGCUAAACCGAGGAAUAGCUUGGUGAACUGGCAGUCUUGAGGCAGGUAGAGGCACACGGAACUCUAGGAGGAGCGGGGGAAUGCGUAAAUAUCAAGAGGAACGCCA
This 685-nucleotide ribosomal RNA is filed under the name uncultured organism. Its description in RNAcentral is "bacterial SSU rRNA". It matches the Rfam family "Bacterial small subunit ribosomal RNA", at positions 48 to 711 of the family's 1533-position model. The record is from RNAcentral.